Fukomys damarensis (Damara mole-rat) is the source of this 1641-nucleotide long non-coding RNA. The record is from Ensembl. Lineage: Eukaryota; Metazoa; Chordata; Mammalia; Rodentia; Bathyergidae.
GAAGUCCUGUUUCAUUCGUGUCUUCAGCAGAACUAUCACGGUUGCCUCAAUGUCCUGAAUAAUUCAAAAUGUUUACCUUUUGAUGGUCAUUUUGACUUCGGAGAAGAGCCAGCAAUCAAGAGGUGCCAGAUCCAUUGAGCAAGACAUUCACAAAAUAGGACUUCCAGAACUGCUUCAGAAAGUGGCAAGAGGCCCGGCAUGGUGGUGCACGCCCAUAAUCCCCGCACUCAGGAGGCUGAGGCAAGAAGAUCACCACGAGUUCAAGGCCAGACUGCACUACAUAGCAAAACCCUGUCUCAAAAAAAGAAAGUGGCCAGAAAAAAGGAGUAAAUUUGUUCAAAGCAUGUGGUAAUAUUUUAAGAGGGAUUAAUGGCAAUGUGUCUUUUACUGUGAUACAUUUUUAAAAUUUAAACACACUAUAUAUUUUGAUUAGCCCUUGUACGUGUUAAGCAUUUAAAUAAUAUAUUUUUAAAAGUGAUGUUCCAACUUGAAUUUUCCAGGACUUGUAGAAUUCAUUCAAUUCAAAUAGACAGUUUUUGUAAGUGACCAUAGAGAAGGAAGAUGGAUGACAGUUUUGUGAAUGAAAAGGCGCAUGUGUUUCUCAUAACUUGGAGGGGAAAACAUUCAAUAGGCAUGAGGCUGGAUUCCUUUUUCUGUUACAGAAUUUAUUAGGCUGAGAAAUGGGGGGAGAGAAGAGAUCUCCACAGAACCCCAAAUAUCUGACAUAGUUAAAUUAUCUUUAUUAGAGUCUUAGGAAGCUGAAGAUUUAUCUGGGCUCCCGCUCCAUGCUAAAGGAAAUUGUCAUUUUCUCACAGUCGAUUUUAGUGUGAGGUAUUGCAGACUAACAGCUGUAGUAUAAACUCAUCCUGUGCUGCUGGUGGACUGACCAUAUCUAGUGUCAUAGCAGGACUCUUUGCACUGCUGGGGAAUGAAUCACAAGUCAUUUCGUAAGGCAAAAUAAAGCCUUAUUUGAAAUCUAGCCAUCGUGAUAAAACUAGGCUAAAAUUAAUUUGAUUUGAGCCAUUUUACCUUUAAAGUAACCUGGGUUAAAAGAAUCUCAGCAGAUUAAAAAGGAGAGGGAGAGGAAUAAAUUUAUUACCGGAAAGGUUACGUGAAAUCGAAUCUCUGCACUGCUGUGGCAGAAAAGUACAGCCUCUGUGGUUCAGUACUGCCAUCCUUAAAGGCUAAAGGUCUUCCCUUGAGCUGUCUAGAUCCACUCUACUGUGCCACAGGGUCAGUCCGUCAGAAGUAAUAAUCCAAAGACGGGCUGCUGGUUAUGUUGUAGCUCCAGCUUGCCUCUCAUGAUGAUUUCCCCCAUGUGACCCUCCUAAGAUGAAAAGGAAGCACUUUGGCCCCUGUACUUCCUGUGUGAAUCUCCAUGUGCUAAUCAUUCUUAUUUUAUACUCCCUGAGUCCUACCCCAAGUACUGCAGGCAUUAUAAACCCUCAAAAUCCCAACUCUUAAUAGUCACAGAGUGAGAUUUCAGCAACAUUUAAGCAAAAGACUGAGAAACUAAUGUCAUCGUGUUUUGAUAGUGUAAGGAAUUUCACAAGAUGUCCUACUUUAAAUUUCUCAUCUUUUGGAAUUAAUUAGAAUCUAUUAGAUGUAGUUCUGCUAAAAUUCUAGUUUUUAUUAUUUUUA